AUUGAACGCUGGCGGCAGGCCUAACACAUGCAAGUCGAGCGGAUGAAGGGAGCUUGCUCCUGGAUUCAGCGGCGGACGGGUGAGUAAUGCCUAGGAAUCUGCCUGGUAGUGGGGGAUAACGUCCGGAAACGGGCGCUAAUACCGCAUACGUCCUGAGGGAGAAAGUGGGGGAUCUUCGGACCUCACGCUAUCAGAUGAGCCUAGGUCGGAUUAGCUAGUUGGUGGGGUAAAGGCCUACCAAGGCGACGAUCCGUAACUGGUCUGAGAGGAUGAUCAGUCACACUGGAACUGAGACACGGUCCAGACUCCUACGGGAGGCAGCAGUGGGGAAUAUUGGACAAUGGGCGAAAGCCUGAUCCAGCCAUGCCGCGUGUGUGAAGAAGGUCUUCGGAUUGUAAAGCACUUUAAGUUGGGAGGAAGGGCAGUAAGUUAAUAUCUUGCUGUUUUGACGUUACCAACAGAAUAAGCACCGGCUAACUUCGUG
This 484-nucleotide ribosomal RNA is filed under the name uncultured bacterium. Its description in RNAcentral is "partial 16S ribosomal RNA". It matches the Rfam family "Bacterial small subunit ribosomal RNA", at positions 30 to 507 of the family's 1533-position model. The record is from RNAcentral.